AUCCAGCUGACAAGUUCUAAAUAGGGUGAAACGCGCUUUCUGGAU
This 45-nucleotide non-coding RNA is filed under the name Schistosoma mattheei. Lineage: Eukaryota; Metazoa; Platyhelminthes; Trematoda; Strigeidida; Schistosomatidae. The record is from RNAcentral.